RNA transcript from Triticum aestivum (bread wheat), 3218 nucleotides. It is a transcript of the gene named pentatricopeptide repeat-containing protein At2g41080, with no coding region annotated. The record is from RefSeq and is a predicted model, not a curated record. The transcript has 2 exons. Lineage: Eukaryota; Viridiplantae; Streptophyta; Magnoliopsida; Poales; Poaceae.
GCUACACGUUCAUGUCGUCGAGGUGUUCGACUUGUUGCAUUGCCAGUCGCGGUAACCCAAAUUCGCCAUGCUUCCGGGGGCGUAGCGCGAGCGGUCGCACGGCCACAUGCACAUGGCCAGGCCGGCGCUGAAGACGCUCACGACCGGGCCACCGGAAGCCAGGGGUGAGUUCAUCCGUCUCUGCUCAAGCGGUCGCCUCAAGGAUGCCCUCCACCACCCCUUCCGGGACGUCCUCUGGUCGGAACCUACCCUCUUCGCCCACGUCUUCCGGGCCUGCCGCGCCAUCCCGCUCCUCCGCCAAAUCCACGCCUUUGCCGCCACCUGUGGCGCCGCCGCCGACCGCUUCACCACCAACAACCUCAUGCUCGCCUACGCGGACCUCGGCGACCUCCCCACUGCGUGCAGUCUGUUCGAGAGAAUUCCGAAGCCGAACGUCAUGUCCUGGAACAUUCUGAUUGGUGGUUACAUCAAGAACGGCGACCUUGGAAGCGCUCGGAAGCUGUUCGACGAAAUGCCCAUGAGGAAUGUCGCCACCUGGAAUGCCAUGGUCGCUGGGCUCACCAAUGCAGGGCAUGACGAGGACAGCCUGGGGUUCUUCCUUGCCAUGCGAAGGGAGGGAUUGCAUCCUGAUGAGUUUGGCCUUGGGAGCGUGUUCAGGUGCUGUGCCGGGCUCUCUGAUCUUGUCUCUGGACGCCAGGUCCAUGCAUAUGUCCUGAGGUGUGGGAUGGACAUUGACAUGUGUGUUGGAAACUCGCUGGCUCACAUGUACAUGCGGUGUGGGUGCCUCGCAGAAGGAGAGGCCGUUCUCAAAGCGCUUCCUUCUCUUACAGUUGUGUCAUUCAAUACCACAAUCGCUGGUAGGGCGCAGCAUGGAGACUCCGAGGGAGCAUUGGAGUAUUUUUCCAUGAUGAGAGGUGUUGGGAUAGCGGCUGAUGUGGUCACAUUCGUUAGUAUCAUUACCUGUUGCUCAGAUUUGGCAGCUCUCGCACAAGGUCAGCAAGUUCACGCACAGGUUAUCAAGGCUGGAGUUGACAAGGUUGUUCCAGUCAUUACUUGCCUUGUGCAUAUGUACUCUCGAUGCGGAUGCUUGGGUGACUCGGAAAGAGUUUAUUCUGGUUAUUGUGGAUCAGAUCUUUUUCUUCUCAGUGCAAUGAUCUCAGCUUGUGGGUUCCAUGGGCAAGGACAUAAAGCAGUUGAGCUGUUUAAACAGAUGAUGAAUGCAGGGGCAAGACCUAAUGAGGUUACUUUCUUGGCCCUGCUAUAUGCGUGCAGCCAUAGUGGUCUGAAAGAUGAAGGCUUGGAGUUCUUUGAGCUUAUGACCAAGACUUAUGGACUGCAACCAAGUGUGAAACACUACACUUGUAUUGUGGAUCUUCUUGGGCGAUCAGGUUGUCUGGAUGAAGCAGAGGCCCUUAUCUUGUCAAUGCCUGUACGUGCUGACGGGGUCAUAUGGAAGACACUGCUAUCUGCUUGUAAGACCCAGAAGAAUUUUGACAUGGCCGAGCGGAUAGCAGAGCGAGUCAUUGAGUUUGACCCUCGAGAUUCUGCGCCUUAUGUUCUGCUAUCAAAUAUUCGAGCUACCAGCAGGAGAUGGGGAGAUGUCAGUGAGUUAAGAAAAAACAUGAGGGAGAAGAACGUGAGAAAGGAACCUGGUGUCAGCUGGGUAGAGCUUAAGGGUCAGGUGCAUCAGUUUUGCACAGGAGAUAAAUCUCAUCCAAGACAAGGAGAGAUCAAUGAGUACUUGGAAGAAAUGAUGGCCAAGAUCAGGCAAUGUGGAUAUGCACCAGACAUGAGCAUGGUGUUCCAUGAUAUGGAGGAUGAGGAGAAAGAGGUUAGUUUAACUCACCACAGCGAGAAAUUGGCGAUAGCAUUUGCAUUUCUGAGCUUACCUGAAGGAGUUCCUAUCCGAAUAAUGAAGAAUCUACGUGUGUGCGAUGACUGCCAUGUUGCUAUCAAGUUGAUGUCCCAGGUCACUGGUCGAGAGAUUGUGGUCAGAGAUGUAAGCCGCUUUCACCAUUUCAGAGAUGGCAAAUGCUCCUGUGGAGAUUAUUGGUGAUGAAAGCACUCAACUGUGUGUAUCUUUUCCAUUUGCUGCGGGGAACAAGAUCUGUAUACUUGGUUCAUGGAAUUUUUGAAGUCAGCAGGAUGGUCAUAAAGCUGGAUCAUGUGUUGCUGGAGCCCUGGAGGUUCUGGUCCUUCUGAGAGUAUGACAGUGGAAACUAUCGGUGCAAUUAUACAUGGAGCAACAAUAGUGCAGCGCUACAAAAUGGAAGGCAAGUGUCUCUUUUACUUUGUCAUGCAAUAAUUCUGAUUGGAAUGUCAAGUGACAUUGUUUUUAUUUUUCAUUUCGCUGGAUGUAUAUUUUGGUCAAUAAGAACAGUGGCCAGGGUCCACAGGCAGCUGCAUAUAUGCAUUGUACAAUAGUUCCAUUGAAUCUCGUUUUGCAUUGAAAUUAAUUUUGGAUUUUGUCUUUCAAUUGGCUGUGCUUGGUUUUGAAUAAGAUUGAUAGUUAAAUUUUCUUUUUUGAGGUCAUGGCCUUUGUUUGUACAAAUUGACAGCAUUGUUUGCAGAUUCCUCGGGUUUAUUUCUGUUCCCUCUUGUUGCUCAUCCAUUUGAUCUCUUGAUUCACUGGCAAUUAUGCAGAAAGGUUAUUAUGCUGCCCUUUUUUUCUUUUCCUUGUGAGGGUUUCUUUACCUUGGGAAUGGGCUCGUUGAAAGAAGCAACCAAGCCCAAUGGCCAAUGGGGGUCUUCAGACACACUCAGGUUCUAUUCUUUGGCCCGCAGAUUGCUGCCAGAUUUUUGUGUCAAGUCAUGUCCAGACCUGGCCAUAUGGACCGUGCUUCUAAGGCGCCGCCCGUGGGCACGAAUUUUUGGCCUGGCACAAUACACGAAUAAAAGGGCCGGGACGCCAUGGAACAAAGCCGAUCCCCGAAGCCAAGCCUUAAGGCCAGCCCGGCACGUCCCUUUUAUUCAUGGGUCGGCACGACACAUCUCGGCACGUGGCGGCAUGCGGCCCAAGUUGGCCCAGAAGGCCUUUUUGGCCUUCAAACCUAAAAAACAAAAGGCCUAGAAGGCCGAAGCGGCUCACAAGGGCUCAAAAGGAACAAAGGCCGGUCCACAGGCAUGCCGGGCCGGCCUUGUUCUGGCGUCUGCCAAGCCGAUCCUCGAGCUGAGGCCUUCGGACUGGCACGACAAGACCCUAUUAUAAAAGGUCCGAC